UUUUUUCAAGAUAGUUUAAGUGGGGUGGCAUUGAGCUGGUAUAUGAGAUUGGACAACACCAAAAUUCACAAAUGAAAAGACUUGAUAAAUAUGGUUGU
Long non-coding RNA from Populus euphratica (Euphrates poplar), 98 nucleotides. RefSeq lists it as uncharacterized. NCBI's taxonomy places the organism in Eukaryota, Viridiplantae, Streptophyta, Magnoliopsida, Malpighiales, Salicaceae. The transcript is spliced from 3 exons. The record is from RefSeq and is a predicted model, not a curated record.